RNAcentral lists this transfer RNA (69 nucleotides) under Loxodonta africana (African savanna elephant). It matches the Rfam family "tRNA". From Rfam's summary of the family: Transfer RNA (tRNA) molecules are approximately 80 nucleotides in length. Their secondary structure includes four short double-helical elements and three loops (D, anti-codon, and T loops). The record is from Rfam by way of RNAcentral. Lineage: Eukaryota; Metazoa; Chordata; Mammalia; Proboscidea; Elephantidae.
UCAGUGGUGGUUCAGUGGUAGAAUUCUUGACUUCUCAAGAGACCUCAGGUUCAGUUCCUGGCCAACGCA